GACGAACGCUGGCGGCGUGCUUAACACAUGCAAGUCGAACGGAAAGGCCCUGCUUGCAGGGUGCUCGAGUGGCGAACGGGUGAGUAACACGUGGGUGAUCUGCCCCUUACUUUGGGAUAAGCCUGGGAAACUGGGUCUAAUACUGGAUAGGACCAUGCUGUAGGUGGUGUGGUGGAAAGAUUAGUUUCGGUAAGGGUUGAGCUCGCGGCCUAUCAGCUUGUUGGUGGGGUAAUGGCCUACCAAGGCGUCGACGGGUAGCCGGCCUGAGAGGGUGGCCGGCCACAUAGGGACUGAGAUACGGCGCAGACUCCUACGGGAGGCAGCAGUGGGGAAUAUUGCAAAAUGGGCGAAAGCCUGAUGCAGCGACGCCGCGUGGGGGAUGACGGCCUUCGGGUUGUAAACUCCUUUCAGCCAUGACGAAGCCCUUGUGGUGACGGUAGUGGUAGAAGAAGCACCGGCUAACUACGUG
RNAcentral lists this ribosomal RNA (469 nucleotides) under uncultured bacterium. RNAcentral's name for it is "partial 16S ribosomal RNA". It matches the Rfam family "Bacterial small subunit ribosomal RNA", at positions 28 to 507 of the family's 1533-position model. The record is from RNAcentral.